UACGAAGGGUGCAAGCGUUACUCGGAAUUAUUGGGCGUAAAGCGUCCGUAGGCGGCACUUCAAGUCUGUCGUCAAAGACUGGGGCUUAACCCUGGAAAGGCGGUGGAAACUGAAGCGCUAGAGUGCGGUAGGGGUAGAGGGAAUUCCCGGUGUAGCGGUGAAAUGCGUAGAGAUCGGGAAGAACAUCGGUGGCGAAAGCGCUCUGCUGGACUGCAACUGACACUCAGGGACGAAAGCUAGGGGAGCGAAUGGG
RNAcentral lists this ribosomal RNA (253 nucleotides) under uncultured bacterium. RNAcentral's name for it is "partial 16S ribosomal RNA". It matches the Rfam family "Bacterial small subunit ribosomal RNA", at positions 524 to 776 of the family's 1533-position model. The record is from RNAcentral.